GAUGAACGCUGGCGGCGUGCCUAAUACAUGCAAGUCGAGCGAACAGACGAGGAGCUUGCUCCUCUGACGUUAGCGGCGGACGGGUGAGUAACACGUGGAUAACCUACCUAUAAGACUGGGAUAACUUCGGGAAACCGGAGCUAAUACCGGAUAAUAUAUUGAACCGCAUGGUUCAAUAGUGAAAGACGGUUGUGCUGGAACUUAUAGAUGGAUCCGCGCCGCAUUAGCUAGUUGGUAAGGUAACGGCUUACCAAGGCAACGAUGCGUAGCCGACCUGAGAGGGUGAUCGGCCACACUGGAACUGAGACACGGUCCAGACUCCUACGGGAGGCAGCAGUAGGGAAUCUUCCGCAAUGGGCGAAAGCCUGACGGAGCAACGCCGCGUGAGUGAUGAAGGUCUUCGGAUCGUAAAACUCUGUUAUUAGGGAAGAACAAAUGUGUAAGUAACUAUGCACGUCUUGACGGUACCUAAUCAGAAAGCCACGGCUAACUACGUG
RNAcentral lists this ribosomal RNA (497 nucleotides) under uncultured bacterium. RNAcentral describes it as "partial 16S ribosomal RNA". It matches the Rfam family "Bacterial small subunit ribosomal RNA", at positions 28 to 507 of the family's 1533-position model. The record is from RNAcentral.